Molecule: ribosomal RNA, 1468 nt
Filed under: uncultured Bordetella sp.
Lineage: Bacteria; Pseudomonadati; Pseudomonadota; Betaproteobacteria; Burkholderiales; Alcaligenaceae
Description: partial 16S-23S ribosomal RNA intergenic spacer
Rfam family: Bacterial small subunit ribosomal RNA
Source: RNAcentral
AGUUUGAUUCUGGCUCAGAUUGAACGCUGGCGGGAUGCUUUACACAUGCAAGUCGAACGGCAGCACGGACUUCGGUCUGGUGGCGAGUGGCGAACGGGUGAGUAAUGUAUCGGAACGUGCCUAGUAGCGGGGGAUAACUACGCGAAAGCGUAGCCAAUACCGCAUACGCCCUUCGGGGAAAGCGGGGGACCUUCGGGCCUCGCACUAUUAGGAGCGGCCGAUAUCGGAUUAGCUAGUUGGUGGGGUAACGGCUCACCAAGGCGACGAUCCGUAGCUGGUUUGAGAGACGACCAGCCACACUGGGACUGAGACACGGCCCAGACUCCUACGGGAGGCAGCAGGGGAAUUUUGGACAAUGGGGGAAACCCUGAUCCAGCCAUCCCGCGUGUGCGAUGAAGGCCUUCGGGUUGUAAAGCACUUUUAGCAGGAAAGAAACGGCACGGGAUAAUACCCGUGCAACUGACGGUACCUGCAGAAUAAGCACCGGCUAACUACGUGCCAGCAGCCGCGGUAAUACGUAGGGUGCAAGCGUUAAUCGGAAUUACUGGGCGUAAAGCGUGCGCAGGCGGUUCGGAAAGAAAGAUGUGAAAUCCCAGAGCUUAACUUUGGAACUGCAUUUUUAACUACCGAGCUAGAGUGUGUCAGAGGGAGGUGGAAUUCCGCGUGUAGCAGUGAAAUGCGUAGAUAUGAGAACACCGAUGGCGAAGGCAGCCUCCUGGGAUAACACUGACGCUCAUGCACGAAAGCGUGGGGAGCAAACAGGAUUAGAUACCCUGGUAGUCCACGCCCUAAACGAUGUCAACUAGCUGUUGGGGCCUUCGGGCCUUGGUAGCGCAGCUAACGCGUGAAGUUGACCGCCUGGGGAGUACGGUCGCAAGAUUAAAACUCAAAGGAAUUGACGGGGACCCGCACAAGCGGUGGAUGAUGUGGAUUAAUUCGAUGCCGCAAAAACCCCACCUAGCCUUGGCAUCCGGAAUCCCGUAGGCUUGGGAGCUGUGAUAUCGAACACAGGUGCGCAUGGCUGCCCGCCGUAGCCGGAGGGGAUGUUAACAGUCUAUGGCCAACGAGCGCGCCCAACACAGUUGCGCACGAAAGGCACUCCCUAGAUGACUGCCGUGACAACAGGGAAGGUGGGGAUGACGUCAAGUCCCUCAUGGCCCUUAUGGGUAGGGCUUCUACACGUCAUACAAUGGUCGGGACAGAGGGCUCAACCCCGCGAGGGGGAGCCAAUCCCAGAAACCCGAUCGUAGUCCGGAUCGCAGUCUGCAACUCGACUGCGUGAAGUCGGAAUCGCUAGUAAUCGCGGAUCAGCAUGUCGCGGUGAAUACGUUCCCGGGUCUUGUACACACCGCCCGUCACACCAUGGGAGUGGGUUUUACCAGAAGUAGUUAGCCUAACCGUAAGGAGGGCGAUUACCACGGUAGGAUUCAUGACUGGGGUGAAGUCGUAACAAGGUAACUCUGUUACU